UGGGGAAUAUUGCACAAUGGGCGAAAGCCUGAUGCAGCAACGCCGCGUGAGGGACGACGGCCUUCGGGUUGUAAACCUCUUUUAGCAAGGAAGAAGCGAAAGUGACGGUACUUGCAGAAAAAGCGCCGGCUAACUACGUGCCAGCAGCCGCGGUAAUACGUAGGGCGCAAGCGUUAUCCGGAAUUAUUGGGCGUAAAGAGCUCGUAGGCGGUUUGUCGCGUCUGCUGUGAAAACCCGAGGCUCAACCUCGGGCCUGCAGUGGGUACGGGCAGACUAGAGUGCGGUAGAGGAGAUUGGAACUCCUGGUGUAGCGGUGGAAUGCGCAGAUAUCAGGAAGAACACCGAUGGCGAAGGCAGAUCUCUGGGCCGUAACUGACGCUGAGGAGCGAAAGGGUGGGGAGCAAACAGGCUUAGAUACCCUGGUAGUCCACCCCGUAAACGUUGGGAACUAGUUGUGGGGUCCAUUCCACGGAUUCCGUGACGCAGCUAACGCAUUAAGUUCCCCGCCUGGGGAGUACGGCCGCAAGGCUAAAACU
This 536-nucleotide ribosomal RNA is filed under the name uncultured bacterium. Its description in RNAcentral is "partial 16S ribosomal RNA". It matches the Rfam family "Bacterial small subunit ribosomal RNA", at positions 355 to 901 of the family's 1533-position model. The record is from RNAcentral.